Zootermopsis nevadensis is the source of this 2837-nucleotide non-coding RNA. Lineage: Eukaryota; Metazoa; Arthropoda; Insecta; Blattodea; Termopsidae. The record is from RefSeq and is a predicted model, not a curated record.
CACAUGAAGUUAGCCUAUACUACGUGCCAAGCGAGUUGUGAUAUUCGAUAGAAGUCCUCUAAUCGCCUUGUUGAACCUUUCCCUGUCACGUGUUUUAACAAGAUUAAACCUUCGUUUUCAGUUUCCACGGCAACUAUAAUGUCAAUCGUUAAAAAGCUUGAGAAAAUUAUUUCAUUUGAUUUUUACAGAUGAGGGAACACGUUUGUUCCCAUUGACGCUGUCGGGUAUGUCAGCAGCAAGAGGAGGUUGAUCUAAAGGUUAAAGGACGUGUACUGAAUGGGGCUUGCUGACUCUGAACACAGAAACAAUGUAAGAGGGAGGACUGGCAAACUUCCUGAAGUAGCUCAUGUCUGAUGAAGUGUUUGAUGAUGUGGCAUACAAAGCCUGCAACUAUAAUCAUCUGCUCUCAACAAAUGAAUUCCUGGAUACAGAAACAGUGCUCUGUCAGGAUGGAGCCUCCAACUGCAGACUCUUCUCAGGGCGGCUAAUUGAUGGAGUGAUUCAGGCAGAGAAUCUAGCUCACAACGUAAUGGCCACAUGGCGGCGACGUGACCACUUGAGAGGUUGAAGCUAGCUGAAGGACCGCCUUGACUAUGGGACGACCAGACCAGCCACUGAAGACAGGCGCUAUACCACCUGCAGAUGGACUAGUCGUGCAGACUGAAGUCGCCAGGCCAAGAAGGAUCAACGGACGGAGCCGCAAGCCAGGACCUGAAAGAUAAAGGAAGAAGUGACGCCAUUGAGGAAACGAACCAAAUUGUCAGGAUGUUGGCCAGCGCAGCAAUAGUCACAUUCCUUAGUUUCAGAAGAAAGUGAGCAAGCCGUCUCUGUGUCAGCCAUGUUAAGGGUUAAUUAGGAAACAUUAAGCAUAGGGUAGUUUAGGUCAGGAGACAGUGUUAGCGAGACCUCUAAAACGUUUACUUGUUAUCCCGUGGUAUUCCUUUGUCAAGCCACCUAACCUUCGGAAGAGACAGGAGAGAGUGUCAUGUAUCGGAUAGGAAGUGUUUGCAAGGGUUUUUCUCCCGAAUGAGACUGGAGUAGAUGGUGACAUUAUACCAAAUAGGACAGACAGGGAGGGUGAAAUGGUAGAACCCGAACUUCCACUGGUUCGGCGGACUAGUUCACCCCCUAUGGGCAACUGCGUAACACGUGGUGGCUGGCGGUGGUGUGGUCCACCCUACUGCAUCACAUCACGUGGUGGCAGGCAACGGGAUAAUACCCCGGCCGCCCACUCACCCCCGACGGAACUUCUCUGCUUUGGAGUGGAGGUAAAGUUCCGCGCAUUCUCAACUCCGGCUGUACACUGAAGCCAUUGGUCAGCAAUGUCCUGGCCGCUUUUCACAGUCAUUUAGAAAUAUAGUCUUAGCAGCUAACUGGUAAAUUGGGGCAGUUCGGUUCCCAUUAGUUUGUGUAAUGAUACAACAGAGCAGGAGGCUAUUGGAGUUUUGAUGCGAAUGUCAUUAUCAGUGAUACUGAUGCGAUGUCGUAUUCUUCCGCAAGUUACAGCGCCAAACUACCCGGUCGAUUUGACUCAUACUCGGUAUGGAGGACCAAUACUAAUUUUUUUAGAAAAUUUAAUGUUAAUUUCGUUUUUAUUGCUUGAAAGUCACUUUACAUGCGGACCUGAAGAUAUCUUCUGCAUUUGCUGACAGAGUUUGAUUAAACUUUAUAUACUGCAUUUAUAUCAGGCGAGUAUUAUCACAGAUGAAAUAGUGUUAACAGUCUCACUAAAUUUAAUUAGUUUUAAGGGACUAACUGGACAUUAAAGUGAUUAUUUGAAUCCUUUUGCUGAUUCUGAUAAGGCUUUAUACUCGGCGCUUUAGGCCUACAUUAUAGCCUCCGCGUAUCAUCAUUUGCUUAGAGUUUUUGAUCCACUUUACCCUAGAAACAAAUUGAACAUGCUUUGUUUUCGACUGAAACGGGUGUCCACCCACCACCCGUUGAUUCCGCAGCCAACCUUGUCUGCUUGUGGUGAUUCCACGGCUGGCCGAUAGUAUAUACACGCGCGUAUUGUUCACAGAUGGCAUUUCUACAGCUACCGAGGCACUACCAUACACGCCGAAAGUGAUGAGUAAGCAGUGGUAUGACAAAAGUAGCAUGCGUGUGGUAAAACUUAGCGGAAGAUGAUGUUGCACUGAAAUGGUAGUAGAAUGAUCAAGGCCAUUUGUUCAAAGCUCGUAGCCUGGUCUGCAUUCUUAUGGGUGAAAUAAAAAAUCCAGCUUCUGCGGCUCGCCAGCCCAGUGUUGAAAUAACGAGAAAAGUUGAUUGUCUAGUGGAAGCGACAGUGGUGCCAAGCAUCGCAGUGAUUUUGACAUGGUAGGGGAGCGGAAGGAAGAACAACAGUAUUACGACGAAGAGAAAAUUUACAGCCAGAUUCUGAGACCAUCGGCCAUUGGGCUCCACAGGCUCUGCCUCGUUUGCAUCGGCACGGGGUGUACAAACAUGUCAUGCAUGAAGCAGACGAUGUUAGACGGCACUGCACAUUUGUGCGUCGCGAUGAACAGGGACUGCGUAUUCUAACCAUGCGUUACACUGCAAGACACCUCUCCUGCUCAAAGUGACAGCUGACACACGGAGGCACUGUCAACAAAUACGUACAUUUCGGCGAUCCCGAUGAUGAAGGCAGCAUGAACCUCGAAAACGUCGGUAAACUAAUACCAGACUACACAGCGCUACAAACCGGAAAAUUCAUAUCUUUGCCUUCUUGCUUUCUUUUCAGAAUUUUACAGGCUUGGCUUCAGUGAUUAUUUUCUUCAAACCGAGAGAGAAAUUAAUAUUUCGUUCAGAUGUCAUGUUGAAUGAAUACUGAAUAAAGGAGUUGCCUAACAGAUGCUCAA